This 812-nucleotide ribosomal RNA is filed under the name uncultured bacterium. Its description in RNAcentral is "bacterial SSU rRNA". It matches the Rfam family "Bacterial small subunit ribosomal RNA", at positions 8 to 829 of the family's 1533-position model. The record is from RNAcentral.
AGAGUUUGAUCCUGGCUCAGGAUGAACGCUGGCGGCGUGCUUAACACAUGCAAGCCGAACGAUGACUUUUGUGCUUGCACAAAAUGAUUAGUGGCGAACGGGUGAGUAACACGUGAGUAACCUGCCCUUAACUUCGGGAUAAGCCUGGGAAACCGGGUCUAAUACCGGAUACGACGGAUUCCCGCAUGGGGGUCCGUGGAAAGCUUGAUGCGGUUUUGGAUGGACUCGCGGCCUAUCAGCUAGUUGGUUGGGGUAAUGGCCCACCAAGGCGACGACGGGUAGCCGGCCUGAGAGGGUGACCGGCCACACUGGGACUGAGACACGGCCCAGACUCCUACGGGAGGCAGCAGUGGGGAAUAUUGCACAAUGGGCGAAAGCCUGAUGCAGCGACGCCGCGUGAGGGACGAAGGCCUUCGGGUUGUAAACCUCUUUCAGCAGGGAAGAAGCGAAAGUGACGGUACCUGCAGAAGAAGCGCCGGCUAACUACGUGCCAGCAGCCGCGGUAAUACGUAGGGCGCAAGCGUUAUCCGGAAUUAUUGGGCGUAAAGAGCUCGUAGGCGGUUUGUCGCGUCUGCUGUGAAAGCCCGGGGCUCAACCCCGGGUCUGCAGUGGGUACGGGCAGACUAGAGUGCAGUAGGGGAGACUGGAAUUCCUGGUGUAGCGGUGAAAUGCGCAGAUAUCAGGAGGAACACCGAUGGCGAAGGCAGGUCUCUGGGCUGUAACUGACGCUGAGGAGCGAAAGCAUGGGGAGCGAACAGGAUUAGAUACCCUGGUAGUCCAUGCCGUAAACGUUGGGCACUAGGUGUGGGGGA